This 71-nucleotide microRNA precursor is filed under the name Chelydra serpentina (North American snapping turtle). RNAcentral describes it as "mir-551a". It matches the Rfam family "mir-551 microRNA precursor family". Lineage: Eukaryota; Metazoa; Chordata; Testudines; Chelydridae. The record is from RNAcentral.
UGACCUUGGAAAUCAAGAAUGGGUGGAGCCUGUUGAAUUAAUUCUAGGCGACCCAUACUUGGUUUCAAGGG